CCCGGCCGCUGCAGAGCCUGCACCUCUACGCUCGGGCAAGCAGCCGCGGGUCCUCGCUGUGCCAAGGGAGCCCAGGAGAGUGCAGACUCAGUGAGAAGCGGCCACUGCCCUGCAGGAUGAAAGGAUGAAUGGCUCCGGGCCCAUUGCACAAUCUCCGGUAUAAUUAGCCAAGGGCGGAGGCGCAGGGCUCAUCCCCGGGGUGGCACACUCUCAGAUCGGUUUCCCUUUCGGCUGCAUAGCCAGGAUUUUAUUAAAUAGGGACGAAAGGCCCCUGUCCGGCCUUCCUCCGUGAGGGUUCAGGUAUUAUGAAUGAGAAGGCAACUCCGACAAGCCUCUGAGGUCGCCACUUCAGGAAAGCCGGGGAAGCCAUUAGGAUGCAGUCCGGUAUUCUCAACAGAAGGCAAGAAGAUUGCAAACCGAAUCUUAUGGGGCGGGAAGAUUCUCCUCCAGCACUUGAAUUUCUAAAUCAGGCUGGGAAGACAACAGCAAAGAAAAGGAACAGCGGUAUAAGAGAACCAGAAUCUUAAAACUAAAAGAAGAUAAAAAGUCUGUGAUUGGGCUCAGAGGUUAAGAGCACUAGCUGCUCUUCCAAAGGUCCUGAGUUCAGUUCCCAGUACCUACAUGGUGGGUCACAACCAUCUAUAGUGAGAUCUGUUACUCUCUUUUGGCCUGCGGGUGUAUAUGCAGGGAGAAUACUGUAUAAAUAAUGAAUAAAUAAAUAUUUUUUAAAGUGU
This 734-nucleotide long non-coding RNA is filed under the name Meriones unguiculatus (Mongolian gerbil). Its description in RNAcentral is "lncRNA (ENSMUGG00000014167.1)". Lineage: Eukaryota; Metazoa; Chordata; Mammalia; Rodentia; Muridae. The record is from RNAcentral.